GACGAACGCUGGCGGCGUGCUUAACACAUGCAAGUCGAACGGAAAGGCUCCAGCUUGCUGGAGUACUCGAGUGGCGAACGGGUGAGUAACACGUGGGUAAUCUGCCCUGCACUCUGGGAUAAGCCUGGGAAACUGGGUCUAAUACUGGAUAUGACCUUUCUCCUUAUGGGGUUUGGUGGAAAGUUUUUCGGUGUAGGAUGAGCCCGCGGCCUAUCAGCUUGUUGGUGGGGUGAUGGCCUACCAAGGCGACGACGGGUAGCCGGCCUGAGAGGGUGAUCGGCCACAUUGGGACUGAGAUACGGCCCAGACUCCUACGGGAGGCAGCAGUGGGGAAUAUUGCACAAUGGGCGGAAGCCUGAUGCAGCGACGCCGCGUGGGGGAUGUCGGCCUUCGGGUUGUAAACCUCUUUCAGCAGGGACGAAGCGUAAGUGACGGUACCUGCAGAAGAAGCACCGGCUAACUACGUG
This 467-nucleotide ribosomal RNA is filed under the name uncultured bacterium. RNAcentral's name for it is "partial 16S ribosomal RNA". It matches the Rfam family "Bacterial small subunit ribosomal RNA", at positions 28 to 507 of the family's 1533-position model. The record is from RNAcentral.